GUGCUUGCACCGGGGAUUAGUGGCGAACGGGUGAGUAACACGUGAGUAACCUGCCCUUAACUCUGGGAUAAGCCUGGGAAACUGGGUCUAAUACCGGAUAUGACUCCUCAUCGCAUGGUGGGGGGUGGAAAGCUUUUUGUGGUUUUGGAUGGACUCGCGGCCUAUCAGCUUGUUGGUGAGGUAAUGGCUUACCAAGGCGACGACGGGUAGCCGGCCUGAGAGGGUGACCGGCCACACUGGGACUGAGACACGGCCCAGACUCCUACGGGAGGCAGCAGUGGGGAAUAUUGCACAAUGGGCGCAAGCCUGAUGCAGCGACGCCGCGUGAGGGAUGACGGCCUUCGGGUUGUAAACCUCUUUCAGUAGGGAAGAAGCGAAAGUGACGGUACCUGCAGAAGAAGCGCCGGCUAACUACGUGCCAGCAGCCGCGGUAAUACGUAGGGCGCAAGCGUUAUCCGGAAUUAUUGGGCGUAAAGAGCUCGUAGGCGGUUUGUCGCGUCUGCCGUGAAAGUCCGGGGCUCAACUCCGGAUCUGCGGUGGGUACGGGCAGACUAGAGUGAUGUAGGGGAGACUGGAAUUCCUGGUGUAGCGGUGAAAUGCGCAGAUAUCAGGAGGAACACCGAUGGCGAAGGCAGGUCUCUGGGCAUUAACUGACGCUGAGGAGCGAAAGCAUGGGGAGCGAACAGGAUUAGAUACCCUGGUAGUCCAUGCCGUAAACGUUGGGCACUAGGUGUGGGGGACAUUCCACGUUUUCCGCGCCGUAGCUAACGCAUUAAGUGCCCCGCCUGGGGAGUACGGCC
Molecule: ribosomal RNA, 800 nt
Filed under: Pseudarthrobacter oxydans
Lineage: Bacteria; Bacillati; Actinomycetota; Actinomycetes; Micrococcales; Micrococcaceae
Description: bacterial SSU rRNA
Rfam family: Bacterial small subunit ribosomal RNA
Source: RNAcentral